Long non-coding RNA from Solanum stenotomum, 194 nucleotides. RefSeq lists it as uncharacterized. NCBI's taxonomy places the organism in Eukaryota, Viridiplantae, Streptophyta, Magnoliopsida, Solanales, Solanaceae. The record is from RefSeq and is a predicted model, not a curated record. The transcript has 2 exons.
UCUGAUAGCCUCAAAUUCGUUCGAAAUCGCUGUGUAUGUGGCAUUCGUCUUAAAAUUAUGAAGAUCAAUGUUUUUUCAUCAAGAUUGGUGAAGUAGACAGUAGUAGUGUUUCUAUAAUGGACACGGACAUAUGAAAUAAACAAGCGCGUCAACUUGAAGCUGCUCUUUAUAUAAAGGGAAUUACCCAAACGUAU